RNAcentral lists this ribosomal RNA (253 nucleotides) under uncultured bacterium. Its description in RNAcentral is "partial 16S ribosomal RNA". It matches the Rfam family "Bacterial small subunit ribosomal RNA", at positions 524 to 776 of the family's 1533-position model. The record is from RNAcentral.
UACGUAGGGGGCAAGCGUUGUCCGGAUUUAUUGGGCGUAAAGAGCGUGUAGGCGGCCAGACAAGUCUGCUGUGAAAACUCGAGGCUCAACCUCGAGCUGUCGGUGGAAACUGUCUGGCUAGAGUCCGGAAGAGGAGAGUGGAAUUCCUGGUGUAGCGGUGGAAUGCGUAGAUAUCGGGAGGAACACCAGUGGCGAAGGCGACUACCUGGCCUGUUCUUGACGCUGAGGCGCGAAAGCUAGGGGAGCAAACGGG